CAAGAAUCAAUAAAAUAAUUGGUUGAUUACAAUGCUUAAAAAUUAAUGCAUAAUGAAUAUUUUUAUUACAAUAUCUGAAUUAAAUUAAUUACCCUACUCCUACCUAAUAAUCUUUCACAUUUCUACAGACUGGCAGUGCCAGCAGCGAAAACUCAAUCAGAAAAACAAAAUGUCAAUCUGUCUACAAACCAGUCUGUGGUUCUAAUGGAAAAACCUAUGGUAACCACUGCAUACUUAAAGAAGCAAAGUGGUUGAGUAA
RNAcentral lists this long non-coding RNA (259 nucleotides) under Papio anubis (olive baboon). Its description in RNAcentral is "lncRNA (ENSPANG00000046737.1)". Lineage: Eukaryota; Metazoa; Chordata; Mammalia; Primates; Cercopithecidae. The record is from RNAcentral.